GACUGGAAAUGGUGGAGUCAGGAUCCACCCCUUCCCAGACCUCAUUUAAGUGUUGGCAGUGGAGGUACAGGUUUCUUGCUGAAGGUCCCUACUUACUUGAGGCUUUGUGAGGAGAGAUAGUGCAACUCUGUGUUGAUGUUUCUUGUUUUGUACGGGGAAGAUUACUGGUGUGAUUAUUCCUUUUCCUGCUAUGUAAAGCAAGGCAGAUUGUAAAGCAGAUACCUCAAAGGUGGUCAUCUCUAGAGUGUCGAAGAAAAAUGUCAAGUGGGGUAAUCUUGUCCUGUCCCCCAGCACCCUGCUUAUUGAGCCUGGUUGGAAAGCCCCUGCAAGUCUGAAGUCAGAUUCAGAAGAAUCAAGGAAACAUAAGCUAUCCUAACGGCUAGAGUCACCGAGAUCAAAGACACUGGAUAAGGGAUUAAUAAAAAGAGGAAAGGAACUCCAACAGUGAACUUGCAUUAAUUAAAGGCAAAAGAGAUGUGGAUACAAUUUCCAGGUUGCUGUGUAUCUGCUGUUCCUAGCACUCACUGUAGGGACUUAAUCUUCAUCUACCUUGACUGCACAAUACAAGGGUUACU
Molecule: long non-coding RNA, 575 nt
Organism: Lagopus leucura (white-tailed ptarmigan)
Lineage: Eukaryota; Metazoa; Chordata; Aves; Galliformes; Phasianidae
Exons: 3
Source: RefSeq, a predicted model, not a curated record